GUGAGCCAGUAAAAAUACUUAUUCCUCAACCAUAGACGGUCACAUACAUCAAAACAGUUGGUUCCUGCCGACAGAGUCUGUAUAGUUAUCAGAUUUUCUGUGCGAUGGCUCCAUACAUA
Molecule: non-coding RNA, 119 nt
Organism: Microtus oregoni (creeping vole)
Lineage: Eukaryota; Metazoa; Chordata; Mammalia; Rodentia; Cricetidae
Source: RefSeq, a predicted model, not a curated record